This 410-nucleotide ribosomal RNA is filed under the name uncultured microorganism. Its description in RNAcentral is "bacterial SSU rRNA". It matches the Rfam family "Bacterial small subunit ribosomal RNA", at positions 509 to 917 of the family's 1533-position model. The record is from RNAcentral.
CAGCCGCCGCGGUAAUACGUAGGGUGCGAGCGUUAAUCGGAUUUACUGGGCGUAAAGCGUGCGCAGGCGGCCCGUUAAGACAGGUGUGAAAUCCCUGGGCUCAACCUAGGAAUUGCGCUUGUGACUGGCGGGCUCGAGUACGGUAGAGGGGGGUGGAAUUCCUGGUGUAGCAGUGAAAUGCGUAGAGAUCAGGAGGAACACCGAUGGCGAAGGCAGCCCCCUGGGCCUGUACUGACGCUCAUGCACGAAAGCGUGGGGAGCAAACAGGAUUAGAGACCCUGGUAGUCCACGCCCUAAACGAUGGGUACUAGCCGUUUGGUGCGCGAAAGCGCUGAGUGGCGAAGCUAACGCGUGAAGUACCCCGCCUGGGGAGUACGGCCGCAAGGUUGAAACUUAAAGGAAUUGGCGGG